Molecule: ribosomal RNA, 404 nt
Filed under: Pictetoperla sp. BYU_PL156
Lineage: Eukaryota; Metazoa; Arthropoda; Insecta; Plecoptera; Perlidae
Description: partial 12S ribosomal RNA
Rfam family: Microsporidia small subunit ribosomal RNA
Source: RNAcentral
UAAACUACGAUUAGAUACCCUAUUAUUGUGAGUGUAAAUUAGACAGGCCUGAGUAGUAAUAGUUAUGUUCUUGAAACUUAAAGAAUUUGGCGGUAUUUUAAUCCUUUCAGAGGAACCUGCCCCAUGAUCGAUAUCCCACGUUUUAUCUUACUUGAUUUUAUUAAGCUUGUAUACCGCCGUCGUCAGGGUAUCCUAGGAGGGUGUUAAUUUUCUAGACUUUGUCAUAGAAGAGAUGUCAGGUCAAGGUGCAGCUAAUGGUUAAGAGGAGGUGGGUUACAGUAAGUGAAUUUAUACGGAUUGUGGCUUGAAAAUAGCUGUUUGAAGGUGGAUUUGAUGGUAAAGUUAGUUAUAAAGCUAGUUUGAUUAAUGGCUCUAAAGUAUGUACACAUCGCCCGUCGCUCUUA